This is a long non-coding RNA of Falco peregrinus (peregrine falcon), 632 nucleotides long. RefSeq lists it as uncharacterized. The record is from RefSeq and is a predicted model, not a curated record. The transcript is spliced from 2 exons. NCBI's taxonomy places the organism in Eukaryota, Metazoa, Chordata, Aves, Falconiformes, Falconidae.
AACACUUUUUUUUUUUUUUUUUUUACAUGCAUCACUAUCAUGGCUAGACUAUAGGGAUUUCACAUGCACGGUCUUUCCAGAUUUUUCCAACACAUUCCGUGGGGCUUUAAAAUCGCGCAUGCACAUGUUCAAAGGCAUACAUGGAUCAUUCGUGUGAUAAACAAUGGCUACUGCGUGCCCAGAUGAAGUCCCAAACCCAUUUCCCGAGCUUACCACUCCAGUAAGUCUGUUAAUGGUAACAUUUAUGGCACUAUGGCCAAACAAUAGGUCCCUGUUUUCAAUGUAAUGUUUUCUCACCACCAGACCACCGCGUCACCUGCCAGGGAAGAAGGGUCUAGAGUGUACAUUUCCCCCUCUGAACAUUCUGUAAGGCAGAGGGUGCGUUUUUCUGUUGUCUCAUGUCAAGAACUUAUGGCGGAAGCGGAAAAGUAUAAAAGGCAUUACCAUAUCCUCGUCUAUGUGUUCCUGGCGGUUGUUUUUGCUGCUAUUCUAUUUUUAUUCUUACUCAGCCUACAUUGUUAUCUGAAUUGUUAAGAGUCAAUUGUUUCCAAAUUCUUGUUGGCUAUUAAAAUGUUAUUUUGUGUGUACAUUUUGUCAUACCACUCGCAUUUGUUUAACGCCAUCGGGUGAAA